This 416-nucleotide long non-coding RNA is filed under the name Rattus norvegicus (Norway rat). RNAcentral describes it as "long non-coding RNA NONRATT024951". Lineage: Eukaryota; Metazoa; Chordata; Mammalia; Rodentia; Muridae. The record is from RNAcentral.
GCAGGUGGAAUGAGAAGAGUCAAUGAAAGUGAGCUCUCCACUCAGCCUGUGGGAAGACCACAAUGGUGGCUGUGGCUACCCACAGCUGGACCAAGACUGGUACCAGAAGUCAUCGCUUGAAGGAAGGGACCUGCCUUCCUCCAGCUCCCAGAAGGUAUGAAUGUUUCACAGUGGUGUGGAUAGUGAUGGGGGCACAGUUGCUGGGGUUUCUAAACCUUCCAAGAUUGGCUUGUGCCUACAAGAAGGCUGGUCAGUAAUUUGAAUAUUCACUUUAUAUCUGGCAUGGAGCUAACUUUAUAUCAAAAUCUCAGACUUCUGCAGACUCAGUAUACAGGGAGAGAGAGGUCAGAACUUGUUUUGGUUUCUUUCCCCUUGUACUAAUGAGAUACAGGAGUCUGGAUGACUUAUUUCACAAG